Molecule: long non-coding RNA, 827 nt
Organism: Passer domesticus (house sparrow)
Lineage: Eukaryota; Metazoa; Chordata; Aves; Passeriformes; Passeridae
Exons: 4
Source: RefSeq, a predicted model, not a curated record
CUCACUCGCACAGCUUAAGAGAGAGAUUCAAAGUGGGCACGGAAUAAGACUUGGGUGAAUGGGAUUACAGAUACAUGAUACUUCAGGGCAGGAUCAUAGACUUGGAAUAAACUGUACAUUUUCGAGGGAGAAUAACGUGGGAGACAGUAUUAAAGGCUUGGUUGCAGCCAGGCAGACAACAUGCACAGACUUUCCAUCAUCCCUUAGGCAGCCCUUCUUAGGGAUGGGUGUCACAGUGGCCAACUUCCAUUCUUCUGUGAUUUCCCUGGAAAGCCAGGACUGAUGACAAAUAUUGGAGAUCAGCUUAGCGAGCUCUUUCAACAGCUUCCUCACUACGUUUGGAUGAAUCCCACUCCGUCCCAUAGACUUGAAAAGAAGACCUGGAAGCCUCUGGAGAUCCCAAGUUUAGGGGAACCCUCUUACAGAAAAUUUUCUUUCAUGCAAGGAGAUACUGACAGAUGCAAGGACCCUAAUGUUACAACACAAAAAGGAGGAGCAACACAGUGAUGUGCACACAAGCCAUGGAUGGAUCUUCAUCUAGUCUGCAUACUCCAUUUUUCAUAGUGGAUGACUGCUGUGAAAACAUUUUAAAGAAAUUAAGAUUAUGUAACUCUGGAUCUGCAACAUAUUCCAGCUCAGAGACACACUUCCUACCCAUCUUAAAUUCUGAGUGCUAUUUCAACUGUGCUGUGCAAGAUAUAUACUGUGCUUAAUCCUAAAUUUCAAUUGAUGCUGUUCUGCAUUAAACGGACCUUCAAUUUCUCCUUAAAGACUCAUUUCAAAGAUGAAUAUGGCAACUGUUGAAAUAAAUUCAAGUCUUACUUUUA